Molecule: unclassified non-coding RNA, 348 nt
Filed under: soil metagenome
Description: partial contains 5.8S ribosomal RNA, internal transcribed spacer 2, and large subunit ribosomal RNA
Rfam family: 5.8S ribosomal RNA (bases 1-120)
Source: RNAcentral
GAUGAAGAACGCAGCAAAAUGCGAUAAGUAAUGUGAAUUGCAGAAUUCAGUGAAUCAUCGAAUCUUUGAACGCACAUUGCGCCCGCUGGUAUUCCGGCGGGCAUGCCUGUUCGAGCGUCAUUUCAACCCUCAAGCCCCCGGGUUUGGUGUUGGGGAUCGGCUCUGCCCUUCUGGGCGGUGCCGCCCCCGAAAUACAUUGGCGGUCUCGCUGCAGCCUCCAUUGCGUAGUAGCUAACACCUCGCAACUGGAACGCGGCGCGGCCAUGCCGUAAAACCCCAACUUCUGAAUGUUGACCUCGGAUCAGGUAGGAAUACCCGCUGAACUUAAGCAUAUCAAUAAGCGGUGGA